This 297-nucleotide ribosomal RNA is filed under the name uncultured Pseudomonadota bacterium. RNAcentral describes it as "uncultured proteobacterium partial 16S ribosomal RNA". It matches the Rfam family "Bacterial small subunit ribosomal RNA", at positions 29 to 351 of the family's 1533-position model. The record is from RNAcentral. Lineage: Bacteria; Pseudomonadati; Pseudomonadota.
AGCGAACGCUGGCGGCAGGCCUAACACAUGCAAGUCGAACGGCCGUAGCAAUACGGCAGUGGCAGACGGGUGAGUAACACGUGGGAACGUACCCUUUGGUUCGGAACAACACAGGGAAACUUGUGCUAAUACCGGAUAAGCCCUUACGGGGAAAGAUUUAUCGCCGAAGGAUCGGCCCGCGUCUGAUUAGCUAGUUGGUGAGGUAACGGCUCACCAAGGCGACGAUCAGUAGCUGGUCUGAGAGGAUGAUCAGCCACACUGGGACUGAGACACGGCCCAGACUCCUACGGGUGGCUG